Molecule: non-coding RNA, 32 nt
Filed under: Macaca fascicularis (crab-eating macaque)
Lineage: Eukaryota; Metazoa; Chordata; Mammalia; Primates; Cercopithecidae
Also listed under: 1 other name
Source: RNAcentral
UAUCCACUGACCACCUGACAGUGGUGAUGCCU